This 253-nucleotide ribosomal RNA is filed under the name uncultured bacterium. RNAcentral's name for it is "partial 16S ribosomal RNA". It matches the Rfam family "Bacterial small subunit ribosomal RNA", at positions 524 to 776 of the family's 1533-position model. The record is from RNAcentral.
UACGUAGGCAGCAAGCGUUGUUCGGAGUUACUGGGCGUAAAGAGUGCGUAGGUGGUGCCCUAAGUCUGUUGUGAAAUCUCCCGGCUUAACUGGGAGGGUGCGGUGGAAACUGGGGUGCUUGAGUGUGGGAGAGGUAAGCGGAAUUCCUGGUGUAGCGGUGAAAUGCGUAGAUAUCAGGAGGAACACCGGUGGUGUAGACGGCUUACUGGACCACGACUGACACUGAGGCACGAAAGCGUGGGUAGCAAACGGG